RNAcentral lists this ribosomal RNA (466 nucleotides) under uncultured bacterium. Its description in RNAcentral is "partial 16S ribosomal RNA". It matches the Rfam family "Bacterial small subunit ribosomal RNA", at positions 28 to 507 of the family's 1533-position model. The record is from RNAcentral.
GAUGAACGCUGGCGGCGUGCUUAACACAUGCAAGUCGAACGAUGAAGCCCAGCUUGCUGGGUGGAUUAGUGGCGAACGGGUGAGUAACACGUGAGUAACCUGCCCUUGACUCUGGGAUAAGCCUGGGAAACUGGGUCUAAUACUGGAUAUGACUUCUCAUCGCAUGGUGGGGGGUGGAAAGAUUUAUUGGUCUUGGAUGGACUCGCGGCCUAUCAGCUUGUUGGUGAGGUAAUGGCUCACCAAGGCGACGACGGGUAGCCGGCCUGAGAGGGUGACCGGCCACACUGGGACUGAGACACGGCCCAGACUCCUACGGGAGGCAGCAGUGGGGAAUAUUGCACAAUGGGCGCAAGCCUGAUGCAGCGACGCCGCGUGAGGGAUGACGGCCUUCGGGUUGUAAACCUCUUUCAGUAGGGAAGAAGCGAGAGUGACGGUACCUGAAGAAGAAGCGCCGGCUAACUACGUG